GAAGCUCAGCCAGUGCAAGCACCUGGAAGGAAGCUUCCGUGCUGCCAUCCCAAGCUCCUAGGGCCAAGAAGCUCAGCUGGUCCCAGCACCAAGAAUGAAGCUCCCCGCCUCCAUCCCAGGCUCCUAGGGCAGUGAAGCUCAGCUGGUCCCAGCAUCGGGAAGGAAGCUCCCCACCUCCAUCCUAGGCUCCUAGGGCAGUGAAGCUCAGCUGGUCCCAGCAUCAGGAAGGAAGCUCCCCACCUCCAUCCUACACUCCUAGGGCAGUGAAGCUCAGCUGGUCCCAGCAUGAGAAAGGAAGCUCCCUGCCUCCAUCCCAGACUCCUAGGGCAGUGAAGCUCAGCCGGUUCCCGCACCCACAAGGAAGCUGCCUAGCCUCCUUCCCAGGCUCCUAGGGCAGUGAAGCUCACCCAGUCCCAGCACCAGGAAGGAAGCUCCCCUACUCCCAUCCCAGGCUCCUAGGGCCAAGAAUGUGAGCCGGUCCCAGCACCCAGAAGGAAGCUCCCCGGCUCCAUCCCAGGCUCAAAGGGUAGUGAAGCUCAGCCAUUCCCAGCACCAGGAAGGAAGCUCCCCUACUCCCAUCCCAGGCUCCUAGAACAGUGAAGCUCAACUGGUCCCAGGACCCGUAAGGAAGCUACCCCACUGCCUUCCCAGGCUCCUAGGGCCAAGAAGGUAAGCCGGUCCCAGCACCUUGAGGGAAGCUUGCAGGCUCAAUCCCAAGCUGCCAGGGCAGUGAAGCUCAGCUGGCCCCAGAACCUGGAAGGAAGCACCCCGCCUCCAUCUCUGGCUCCUAGGGCAGUGAAGCUCAGCCUGUGCAAGCACCCGGAAGGAAGCUUCCCCGCUGCCAUCCCAAGCUCCUAGGGCCAAGAAGGUGAGCCAGUCCUAGCACCUGGAGGGAAGCUCCCCAGCCUCCAUCCCAGGCUCCUAGGGCACUGAAGCCCAGCUUGUCCAAGGACCAGGAAGGAAGCUCCCCCACUACAUCCCAGACUCCUAGGGCCAAGAAGGUGAGCAGGUCCCAGCAACCAGAGUGAAGCUCCUAGUCUCCACCCCAGGCUAAGAGGGCAGUGAAGCUCAGCCAGUCCCAGCAGCCGGAAGGAAGCUCCCACCUGCCAUCCCAGGCUCCUGAUGCCAAGAAUGUGAGCAGGUCCCAGC
RNAcentral lists this long non-coding RNA (1149 nucleotides) under Heterocephalus glaber (naked mole-rat). RNAcentral's name for it is "lncRNA (ENSHGLG00100040399.1)". The record is from RNAcentral. Lineage: Eukaryota; Metazoa; Chordata; Mammalia; Rodentia; Bathyergidae.